This 254-nucleotide ribosomal RNA is filed under the name uncultured bacterium. RNAcentral describes it as "partial 16S ribosomal RNA". It matches the Rfam family "Bacterial small subunit ribosomal RNA", at positions 524 to 777 of the family's 1533-position model. The record is from RNAcentral.
UACGUAGGGGGCAAGCGUUGUCCGGAAUCAUUGGGCGUAAAGAGCGCGUAGGCGGUCCGAUAAGUCGGUUGUGAAAACUGGGGGCUCAACCUCAGAGGCCGACCGAUACUGUCGGGCUAGAGUCCGGAAGAGGCGAGUGGAAUUCCUGGUGUAGCGGUGAAAUGCGCAGAGUAUCGGGAAGAACACCCGUGGCGAAGGCGGCUCUCUGGGACGGUACUGACGCUGAGACGCGAAAGCGUGGGGAGCGAACGAGG